Molecule: long non-coding RNA, 463 nt
Organism: Acanthopagrus latus (yellowfin seabream)
Lineage: Eukaryota; Metazoa; Chordata; Actinopteri; Spariformes; Sparidae
Exons: 3
Source: RefSeq, a predicted model, not a curated record
GAGGAAGCGGACUAAUUGUUAUCAUUCCACUGCUUCGGGAUUGAUCACCUGAAAAACACAAUGAGCCGCUCGAUCAGGAGGGACACUGGGUGAUUUUUUUGAGGGAAUCCAAUCAAGUGGCCAGUGAAGUCAGAAGGAACUGAUUGGACCAGCAGCGAAGUGCAAGGCAGAGGACAAAAUGUGUGUGAGGCACUGGCUCAGUCACCAAAGGGUUUUAGUGGCUUCUGGAAAUGUAAACUGGCUGAACCUGACCAUGUCAGUGCUGCCCCACCUCCCAAGUACCCCAUCUGUUCUGACUGGUCAGCUCACACACCUGAGUCAGCACCACUUACCUGUCUGUGGUCGGCUCUGUCGUGUCUUCAGCUUACAGUCAGCUUCACUUGUCCUGGAAUAUAAGUGUAAACUGUGCAAAUGUUUGACAUGGUGAGGAAAUGUGAUGUCACAAAGUCACGGAAAUAAAUGC